Molecule: ribosomal RNA, 232 nt
Filed under: uncultured bacterium
Lineage: Bacteria
Description: partial 16S ribosomal RNA
Rfam family: Bacterial small subunit ribosomal RNA
Source: RNAcentral
CGGGGUGAGUAACGCGUGGGUGACCUGCCCCAUACCGGGGGAUAACAGUUAGAAAUGACUGCUAAUACCGCAUAAGCGCACGGUGUCGCAUGACACAGUGUGAAAAACUCCGGUGGUAUGAGAUGGACCCGCGUCUGAUUAGCUAGUUGGCGAGGUAACGGCCCACCAAGGCGACGAUCAGUAGCCGACCUGAGAGGGUGAUCGGCCACAUUGGGACUGAGACACGGCCCAA